Molecule: ribosomal RNA, 497 nt
Filed under: uncultured bacterium
Lineage: Bacteria
Description: partial 16S ribosomal RNA
Rfam family: Bacterial small subunit ribosomal RNA
Source: RNAcentral
GACGAACGCUGGCGGCGUGCCUAAUACAUGCAAGUUGAGCGAUGAAGAUUGGUGCUUGCACCAAUUUGAAGAGCAGCGAACGGGUGAGUAACGCGUGGGGAAUCUGCCUUUGAGCGGGGGACAACAUUUGGAAACGAAUGCUAAUACCGCAUAACAACUUUAAACAUAAGUUUUAAGUUUGAAAGAUGCAAUUGCAUCACUCAAAGAUGAUCCCGCGUUGUAUUAGCUAGUUGGUGAGGUAAAGGCUCACCAAGGCGAUGAUACAUAGCCGACCUGAGAGGGUGAUCGGCCACAUUGGGACUGAGACACGGCCCAAACUCCUACGGGAGGCAGCAGUAGGGAAUCUUCGGCAAUGGACGAAAGUCUGACCGAGCAACGCCGCGUGAGUGAAGAAGGUUUUCGGAUCGUAAAACUCUGUUGGUAGAGAAGAAAGUUGGUGAGAGUGGAAAGCUCAUCAAGUGACGGUAACUACCCAGAAAGGGACGGCUAACUACGUG